GCGAGAGUGGUGGAACGGUAGACACGCUAGAUUUAGGAUCUAGUGCCUUUGGGCGUGCGGGUUCAAGUCCCGCCUCUCGCA
RNAcentral lists this transfer RNA (81 nucleotides) under Actinomycetota bacterium. RNAcentral's name for it is "tRNA-Leu". It matches the Rfam family "tRNA". Rfam says of the family: Transfer RNA (tRNA) molecules are approximately 80 nucleotides in length. Their secondary structure includes four short double-helical elements and three loops (D, anti-codon, and T loops). The record is from RNAcentral. Lineage: Bacteria; Bacillati; Actinomycetota.